GGUUGAUGUCCUCAUAGAAGGAGAGACAGUAAGGGGAAGACAGGGGGACCAGCCAUCCCUAGUGCAUUAAAUCUUUCAAAUAAAGACUACAGCUGUAACACAGUUUGCUUCUCACCUUUUUAGACGGCCAGACCUGGCUCCAAGUGUGUAGGUAAACAUAUCAAUUAAGGGAGACACAACCCUUCUUUUGUCCAGUUGUUUCUGGGUUUGGGUUUGGUACUGCAGAUUUGGUUAAUGCAAUGCCUCCUGUGGCCAAGCAUUCGUGCUCUAGCCCCCUUGAGGCUUAACGUGUUUUGGUUCCUCUGCAUAUGCACUACCUACUUAAUGAGGCUCUACACACUAUUAAGACCACACAGUCACCUGCUGAAGGUUCUGAAGUGCUGGACUAUUUUUUUCCAGCCACUUCCUGCUCUUCCUUGUCAUUUUCUGCUUCAGACUGUUGUGCACAAUAAAUGGGAGAAACUUGGCUCUGCUCUGGUUACCUCCACCAAGUUCACCAAGAUGUUUUCUUUGCCUGAGGUGGAUGUCAUAUCGUGGGACACUGUUUCUAAGGUUGAUGAAGUGAUUUCUACUUUAUCCAAAAC
Non-coding RNA from Pelobates cultripes (western spadefoot toad), 584 nucleotides. The record is from the annotation of a GenBank genome assembly. NCBI's taxonomy places the organism in Eukaryota, Metazoa, Chordata, Amphibia, Anura, Pelobatidae.